Long non-coding RNA from Dermochelys coriacea (leatherback sea turtle), 606 nucleotides. RefSeq lists it as uncharacterized. The record is from RefSeq and is a predicted model, not a curated record. The transcript has 3 exons. NCBI's taxonomy places the organism in Eukaryota, Metazoa, Chordata, Testudines, Dermochelyidae.
GGCACCCUGGGGCACUGCAGUUAGUGGGUAUGUGGUGCAGCCUGUGGCCCUUUAAACUGAGCUGCUCUGCCAGAGCUCAGUGUGCAGGCAGGAGCUCGGGCUCCAGCUCCAACAGCUGAAAUUCUGGGCCAGGUUUCAGGAGCAGCUCUGGAAGUUUCUUUCCAGGGCUCUGAGCUUGCAAGCUUGUCCCCUUCCCAGCCAGGGGAAGGGAGUGGGGAAAACAGUGUUCACCACCUCUUACCUGUAAGUGAUUGGCCCUUGUGGUGAGUAGGAGACUGGGGGUGGGGACAGGCAGCCCAGAUGUGCCUACCUUUAGGAUUCAAUACAAUUAGAGUACUGUAUUUGCUGAUUUGUUUGUGGUUGGGUUUUUUGUUUGUUUUUUUUUUGUCUCGGCUACUGCCUGAAAGCUUACUUCUGGUUCCCCAUGUGUCCAGUUGACAGGAACUCACUGCUCCAAGUCAUGGAGAGGAAAAUGCAAUGGGAUAAAGAUGCAGCAUUAAGGCAGAAAGAUGACAUGACAUGUCUAAGGUAACACAGAAUGUCUGUGGCUCAGCUGGGUAUGAAUGCAGCUCCCCUAUGUCCCAGUCCUGUGCUUCAACCUCUGUA